RNAcentral lists this long non-coding RNA (666 nucleotides) under Cricetulus griseus (Chinese hamster). RNAcentral describes it as "lncRNA (ENSCGRG00015027150.2)". The record is from RNAcentral. Lineage: Eukaryota; Metazoa; Chordata; Mammalia; Rodentia; Cricetidae.
CUCAGUCUGUUCUUUGCACACUGUAGCCACACCCUCUGACUUCCUUCUGUCCAAUACUUUAAUAUAGAUCCUUAACCCUUUACUGUGGUCUGCUCAUACUUCUCAACCAAGCCCCUGUCUACCUCAUCAUCAUCAUUCGGUCCUCAGUCACUUCAGUACUUUUCACCAUCUGACUCAUCGAGGCUCUUCAUGCUGUAAAGCAGUUCAACUUCUCCAGGAAACAGAGUCAGGCAGAGCUUAGAGUUCCGGAUGUUUAUCAGGGAGUGGUGCUUGAGUCAACACCCGUGCAAAGGACUGGGCUGAGGCAGAAUUGGGAAGAGGGAGAAAUCCAGCUGAGAUGCAAGCCAGACAGUGCCCGCCAACAGCACAGGGUGCUCAGAAACUUGAAACAGAACACAGAGUGCAUUGCUGGUGUCUGUAAACAAGGCCUUCCAGAUUAAACUCAGUUGGCUUCUCUACCAGGUCAAGUUCCCCCUACGCCAUCAUUCCAUCCUGGCAUAGCCUUUAUCAUACUUCACAGUUGCUUGGGUAUGAUCUUUUUCCUUGCAAAAAUAACCCCAAGAGGUUGUUAUGAUAAAGCUCUAGGGGGGACCUUAUCGGUUUCCAUGGCAGAGGGGGCGACCAAGUCGGAGGGACAAACAUGCCAGGUAGACUCAGCUUAGUGAG